GAUGAACGCUGGCGGCGUGCCUAAUACAUGCAAGUCGAGCGAACGGACGAGAAGCUUGCUUCUCUGAUGUUAGCGGCGGACGGGUGGGUAACACGUGGAUAACCUACCUAUAAGACUGGGAUAACUUCGGGAAACCGGAGCUGAUACCGGAUGAUAUUUUGAACCGCAUGGUUCAAAAGUGAAAGACGGUCUUGCUGUCACUUAUAGAUGGAUCCGCGCUGCAUUAGCUAGUUGGUAAGGUAACGGCUUACCAAGGCAACGAUGCAUAGCCGACCUGAGAGGGUGAUCGGCCACACUGGAACUGAGACACGGUCCAGACUCCUACGGGAGGCAGCAGUAGGGAAUCUUCCGCAAUGGGCGAAAGCCUGACGGAGCAACGCCGCGUGAGUGAUGAAGGUCUUCGGAUCGUAAAACUCUGUUAUUAGGGAAGAACAUAUGUGUAAGUAACUGUGCACAUCUUGACGGUACCUAAUCAGAAAGCCACGGCUAACUACGUG
This 497-nucleotide ribosomal RNA is filed under the name uncultured bacterium. RNAcentral's name for it is "partial 16S ribosomal RNA". It matches the Rfam family "Bacterial small subunit ribosomal RNA", at positions 28 to 507 of the family's 1533-position model. The record is from RNAcentral.